CACGUAGGCGGACUCUUAAGUCGGGGUGAAAUCCUGGAGCUCAACUCCAGAACUGCCUUCGAUACUGAGAGCCUUGAGUCCGGGAGAGGUGAGUGGAACUGCGAGUGUAGAGGUGAAAUUCGUAGAUAUUCGCAAGAACACCAGUGGCGAAGGCGGCUCACUGGCCCGGUACUGACGCUGAGGUGCGAAAGCGUGGGGAGCAAACA
This 206-nucleotide ribosomal RNA is filed under the name uncultured Hyphomicrobiales bacterium. RNAcentral's name for it is "uncultured Rhizobiales bacterium partial 16S ribosomal RNA". It matches the Rfam family "Bacterial small subunit ribosomal RNA", at positions 568 to 774 of the family's 1533-position model. Lineage: Bacteria; Pseudomonadati; Pseudomonadota; Alphaproteobacteria; Hyphomicrobiales. The record is from RNAcentral.